Bos taurus (domestic cattle) is the source of this 72-nucleotide non-coding RNA. NCBI's taxonomy places the organism in Eukaryota, Metazoa, Chordata, Mammalia, Artiodactyla, Bovidae. The record is from Rfam.
UCCCAAGUGGCUCAGACAAUAAAGCACCCACCUGCAAUGCAGGAGACCCGGGUUCGAUCCCUGGCUUGGGAA